CCUACGGGGCGCUGCAGUGGGGAAUAUUGGACAAUGGGCGAAAGCCUGAUCCAGCCAUGCCGCGUGUGUGAAGAAGGCCUUCGGGUUGUAAAGCACUUUCAGUGGGGAAGAAAGCCUUGGGGCUAAUACCCUCGAGGAAGGACAUCACCCACAGAAGAAGCACCGGCUAACUCCGUGCCAGCAGCAGCGGUAAUACGGAGGGUGCGAGCGUUAAUCGGAAUUACUGGGCGUAAAGCGCGCAUAGGCGGUCUGAUAAGCCGGUUGUGAAAGCCCCGGGCUCAACCUGGGAACGGCAUCCGGAACUGUCAGGCUAGAGUGCAGGAGAGGAAGGUAGAAUUCCCGGUGUAGCGGUGAAAUGCGUAGAGAUCGGGAGGAAUACCAGUGGCGAAGGCGGCCUUCUGGACUGACACUGACGCUGAGGUGCGAAAGCGUGGGUAGCAAACAGGAUUAGAUACCCGGGUAGUC
Molecule: ribosomal RNA, 465 nt
Filed under: Vreelandella stevensii
Lineage: Bacteria; Pseudomonadati; Pseudomonadota; Gammaproteobacteria; Oceanospirillales; Halomonadaceae
Description: partial 16S ribosomal RNA
Rfam family: Bacterial small subunit ribosomal RNA
Source: RNAcentral